ACCUGGAUAGCUCAGUCAGUAGAGCGUGUGACUCUUGAUCUCGGGGUCAUGAAUUCAAGCCUCAUGUUGGGUG
Molecule: transfer RNA, 73 nt
Filed under: Mustela putorius furo (domestic ferret)
Lineage: Eukaryota; Metazoa; Chordata; Mammalia; Carnivora; Mustelidae
Rfam family: tRNA
About the family: Transfer RNA (tRNA) molecules are approximately 80 nucleotides in length. Their secondary structure includes four short double-helical elements and three loops (D, anti-codon, and T loops). Further hydrogen bonds mediate the characteristic L-shaped molecular structure. tRNAs have two regions of fundamental functional importance: the anti-codon, which is responsible for specific mRNA codon recognition, and the 3' end, to which the tRNAs corresponding amino acid is attached (by aminoacyl-tRNA synthetases). tRNAs cope with the degeneracy of the genetic code in two manners: having more than one tRNA (with a specific anti-codon) for a particular amino acid; and 'wobble' base-pairing, i.e. permitting non-standard base-pairing at the 3rd anti-codon position.
Source: Rfam by way of RNAcentral